UAUAGGUAAUGAUCUGAUGGACUAUCCCCUCUAGUGAUGGUGUUGUAGGUAAUGAUCUGAUGGACUAUCCCCUCUAGUGAUGGUGUUGUAGGUAAUGAACUGACGGACUAUCCCCUCUAGUGAUGGUGUUAUAGGUAAUGGACUGACGGACUAUCCCCUCUAGUGAUGGUGUUAUAGGUAAUGAA
Oncorhynchus keta (chum salmon) is the source of this 185-nucleotide long non-coding RNA. RefSeq lists it as uncharacterized. The record is from RefSeq and is a predicted model, not a curated record. The transcript is spliced from 3 exons. Lineage: Eukaryota; Metazoa; Chordata; Actinopteri; Salmoniformes; Salmonidae.